Molecule: small RNA, 301 nt
Filed under: Histoplasma capsulatum
Lineage: Eukaryota; Fungi; Ascomycota; Eurotiomycetes; Onygenales; Ajellomycetaceae
Also listed under: 1 other name
Description: hypothetical RNA
Source: RNAcentral
ACUCUAGCCAUUGAUUUCUGAGGAUUGUACAGAGUUCAUGUAUGUCAAUAAACCUUCACCUACCUACAUCAUAUAUAUAUUGGUAUGUUCGGCCAGAUCUUUGGGGGUUGAGACGAUGGAGUUUGACAGGUUAUCAAUGAGAAUACGUACUGGGCCAAUAUCAAGUUUUGUGAUAAGGAUUAUCGACCUCGAAAUGCGGAAUUGAACGACCAAACUGAGUGUCGAACUUCGUAAGAGCAGGAGCGAUUCUGGCAAAAACGCCACGUGAAUCACUGAGAACCGAAACCGAAGAGAGAAAAGA